This is an RNA transcript of Triticum aestivum (bread wheat), 1170 nucleotides long. RefSeq lists it as uncharacterized. NCBI's taxonomy places the organism in Eukaryota, Viridiplantae, Streptophyta, Magnoliopsida, Poales, Poaceae. The record is from RefSeq and is a predicted model, not a curated record. The transcript has 8 exons.
CAUAGUUCCUAUAAAUGGGAAAAUUCUGAGGUGUAACUGAUGAAGCUACCAUUCGUGCACAGGAGCAAGAAUAUUCGGAUAGCAGCAUGGGCGCUGGUGGUGGGGAUGGCACGGUACCAACUGAGAUGCACAGCUCUGAUGCUGAUCAUGACAGCGACGCUGCAAGUACCGGAGGGGGUGGGUGGACCACCAGCUCUGGAUAUGGAUGCUUUCAAAAAUAUGAUUAGUGGUAUAGCUGAGAGAGUGCUGCAGAAGGAGAUGGCAAGGAUUGAUGCCGAGACUGACUCAAAGUUGAUGACCCUCGGCAAGGAACUGGAAUCUUCUGAGAUGCGUAGCAGAAGUCUGCGUUCUCAAAUGGACGCAGUCAUAGCUGAGGGCAACCGCAGGCGCAUGCAUAUGCUCACAGGUGAGCUCAUUCAGGCUCUGUACGAUGGUUUGCGGGAUGCAUUCCAGCCGGCUGGUGCCGGACAACCAUGGUUCUAUGGUCUGGAGCAGAAGAUGUUUGAUUUGUCUGUUGAGAAGGCUCUAUUAGGGAUAGAGCGUACAUUUGAAGUUGAGGAUCCUAACUUGUACAACUACAACUACCAUGGAACGCGUUACUCUGGGGCGCGGGCAAUGCGUGACAACAAGGGGAAAGGAGAGGCUUGGGUUCCAGUUUCAAGGACUGUUGGUUUUGCUACGCCAAAUCUGCCAAUGGAUGAAAACAGGGGUGGUGAACAUAGACAGUGGCUCAAGUUCAGCUGGGCCAGCAUUCGAUUCAUACCCGGAUAGUGCACGUCUUGCAGUAAAUCUGCCACAACAAAGGCGAUCAAGCCCAGUAACGUAUAUGGGUUCUGGUUCAGCCUUUGCUUCUGGUUCCCAGCUAGCACCUCUACCUGAUGUGCUAAUGAUGCCAGAUGGGACAAGUUAUACAACCUGUUGUCUUUGCACUCUCUCCAUUUGACUUGGGGUUGCACCACCAUGAGGUUUCCGAAGAAGUGUCACUUGCAUGCUAUGAAUCCGUGCAGCUGUGCGAAAGCUCUGAAACCGACAAGAUUUGGUUCUGUCAUGUGAUUCCAUUCUUGAUUAAAAUGUCUGGACCAAUGUUCAAAGCCAAGUAAAAUCACAAUGUGGCCUUCGAUUUAGAUGUGAUGGAGACAGCGGUUCGUUCCUUCAAUGAAAAGGAGAUAG